This 115-nucleotide ribosomal RNA is filed under the name Pogona vitticeps (central bearded dragon). The record is from RNAcentral. Lineage: Eukaryota; Metazoa; Chordata; Lepidosauria; Squamata; Agamidae.
AACUGUACCACCCUGAACCAUUCCAGACUUACCAGAUUUUAGAAGCUAAGGAGGUCUGGGCCUGAUUAGCACUUGGAUGGGAGACCAUCAAAGGAAUACCAAGGAUCUCCAGAUA